RNAcentral lists this small RNA (652 nucleotides) under uncultured fungus. Its description in RNAcentral is "eukaryotic LSU rRNA". The stretch from base 215 to 369 matches the Rfam family "5.8S ribosomal RNA". The record is from RNAcentral. Lineage: Eukaryota; Fungi.
GGAAGGAUCAUUACCGAAUUGUCAACAAGAGUUGUUGCUGGUCCCUGUAUGGGGGCAUGUGCACGCUCUGUUUACACAUCCACUCACACCUGUGCACGCUCUGUAGUUCUAUGGCCUGGGUGGGCUCUGCCCUCCUGCUGUGGUCCUAUGUCUUUACACACACACUACAACAAAGUCUCAUGGAAUGUAUGUCGCGUUUAACGCAAUGAAAUACAACUUUCAGCAACGGAUCUCUUGGCUCUCGCAUCGAUGAAGAACGCAGCGAAAUGCGAUAAGUAAUGUGAAUUGCAGAAUUCAGUGAAUCAUCGAAUCUUUGAACGCACCUUGCGCCCUUUGGCUAUUCCGAAGGGCAUGCCUGUUUGAGUAUCAUGAACACCUCAACUCUCAUGGCUUGCCGUGAUGUGCUUGGACUUUGGGGGUCUUGUUGGCCUGUGAGCCAGCUCCUCUUAAAUGAAUUAGCUCGCCGGUGUUUGGUGGCGUCACGGGUGUGAUAACUAUCUACGCUUGUGGUUCCCCACCAGGGUAACCUUCAGCAAUGAAGGUUCACCGGAGCUUAUAAAUGUCUCUCCUCAGCGAGGACAGAUUUUGACCAUUUGAUCUCAAAUCAGGUAGGACUACCCGCUGAACUUAAGCAUAUCAAUAAGCGGAGGAA